Molecule: long non-coding RNA, 3711 nt
Organism: Girardinichthys multiradiatus
Lineage: Eukaryota; Metazoa; Chordata; Actinopteri; Cyprinodontiformes; Goodeidae
Exons: 5
Source: RefSeq, a predicted model, not a curated record
CUAGCUGGCUCUCCCCUUGAACACUAAGCAGAAGGCUGGAACUGAGGGAGGCAGAGAAGAGGGGCAGCAGGCAGGGAGGCUGGGGGAAAGGCAGGGAGAGAUGGAGAGCUGAGGCCGGGAUAGAAACUCCAAGAAUGGGGGGAAUGAAAGGCCUGAGCAGGCUGAGGGGAGAAAGUGGGAAGGUGUGAGGGCUGGUUCGAACCAUAAUAAGGAGAGAAGGGUAAGAAAGAUGGAGGCUGAGAAAAGGCCGCUAUGAGGACAUGCUGGUAGAGAAUUGAUAGGUAAAGAAAGGAUGUAGGAAUAAAAAAAGGCUGAUUGUGGAAAUAGAGAGAAGAUCCAACAAAAACCAAAAAACAACAAGAUUACGUCUCUAGUGAAGAUAUAGCUGAGGGUUGGAAGAACCUUCAAAUAAAAAGAGGAAUUAGGAUCUCAGACCUAGGUCAAAGCUCAGGCUGAAAAAAAAUUAUCAGCUUGAGUCAAAGCCAAGACUAAUGCAGAAAUGCAAACACACGUUUGAAUCUUCAUCACUCUGGACUGCACUUUUCUUUUCCUGCUUUGGAUAUAAGGCUGGCAUGGACUGCAGUGGAUGUCCAAUCAGACAACAGGACCUCUGCUCUUGUCAUAAUGACAACCAUGACAUCACGGCAAGGGCUUGCGGAGAGAAGACAAGCGGAGCUCCAGACAGAGAGCGGGGCUGCACCGCGGCACCACACGCCGACCGAAGGAACCCCGGCGGUCGGAUCCAAACCGCGCGAACUCCCGGGGCUACUGGGGGUGGCAAUACUGGGGUGGGAUUCAGGAUGAGAGCCGACGGACAGGAGCGCUGCCGCCGGACUCACUGCGGCCGCGUCGUCGGCUGAAGAUAUGGAGGAAGUUGAGCGAAAUAGCAUCUUGUUUAAUUUCUGCCAAUCAAGAGGAGAGGAAGACAACUCCAAAAGUGGCAUUAUGCAAUCCGAGAUUAAAGACACACCCAAGAGACAGAGGCAGUGAUUGAGCCAGACAGCAAAAACUGGGCGCUGACAAGUGAGGACUUGUCACCUGGUCAGCUAUAAGGACUUCUGCAAGACGUGAAAGAGGUUUUCUUUAAAGGUGAUGCUGAUGGUGGAACCUCAUCUUGGCUCAAGAAAUAAAGAAGAUGCUGACAUUUCACUCUCCCCAAAACGCACACAAUAAUAACUAAAAUUCUAGCAUUGGGAAGUAAAACCGAUUCCAGCUGAAGAAAACUAGAUCAAAGGGAAUCAAAGUGAACUGGAAUUACUUGGAAAGAAGUAAAAAAGGAGGAUUCAGCUGAGCAGCGACCAUUAAAAAGAUCAGAGAAACAACCUGGAACAGUCUGGCUGAAAACAUGUUGAUUGGAGAAUGCUGUUUUACUAGUGUUCAUUUGAUGUAAAUGAGUAUUUGGUUUACGUAUUUACAUUAAUGUCAAUAUUGAGUUACUGUACAAUAAUAUUGCCUCAUUAUAUGAGCUUUCUUUCAUGUGCAGAGUUAAUAUUUAUCAAACAUUCUAUAUUUGUUUGUGUUUUUCAGAUAUAUUUGAGCUUCCUACUGUUUAAAGAUGUGUAAAUGUUUUAGCUGUGUACCUUCAUUACAAAAUAAGCAGGUAACUGUUGUUUUUGUGUAAAUAUUGUGCAUUAGGAACCUUGUAAAAUUGUAAAAAGUAAAACGUUUUAAAACACUUUUGAUAGCAGGGAUGUGACAUUAAUAAUCAUAAUCAUAUAAUUCAUAUUAUUAAUCUUACAAUUCAUCUCAUUAAGUACAUGGUUCACAAGAUGCAAAAUCCUUUGAAAGAUGAAAAUUACCAGCUUUUUCACAAAUCCCAAACUGUGUUUUAAAUAGUGCUAAACCUACUGGCCGACAGGUGCAAACACGCAGCCAAUGGCUAAACGCGCCAGAAAUGGAGAAACGUGCUGCAAACACAUUAAUGAUGCAAACUCCAAAAAACACAAACACACACAAAAAAUGAAUGCAACAAAAAAGCUGCAAAUGAAAAAUGCUGCAAUCACAGAAAAUAGACAGAAGCAAAAAGAAAAAUGCUGCAAAUACUAAAAACAGCAGCCAGUAAAAAAAAAAAAAAACAAAGCUGCAAACUCACGCCCCAAAACAGAAGUGGACCAGACAAUUAGAAGGAGUCGACCACCAAGUCGUAAUGGACCAGACCCCCAGUAAAGACAUUAAUGGGAUGCCCAGAAGAAACAUGAGGCCACAAUGUUUUACAAUAUUAUAGAACAGCAGCAUAUUUAUGUAGGUAAUAUUAAACGUGCCCCUAGUGGCCCCUAGAUUUUAAAUCUACAGAGGAUCAAAUGCAGAAUCGUUAAAAGCCUGUCAAAUAUUUUAGCUCCAACAGGAAGUUCUGAAGAAGAUUCCAAACUUAGAAGUGUUAGCACUUAAAGGUUGGCAAGGCAGACCUUUCACAGGGCUUUCAAUACAUUGCUUAGCCGACUACGUCAACCCAACAUGGCUCAAGAGCCAAUUCAUUUAAUACUUCAAUAAAAAAUGUCUCGCACAUAGUUACAGGCUGUCAAGCACAAAGCAUCCAUCUUCAUAAUAAAAGCUUAUCCUUAUUUCACAAGACAAAUUCACUUCCUGACAGUGGCUAGCACUACGUAAGUGACUUAAUUUUGACGACAAAUAUGGAGUUUUAUUGUUGCAAGAUCGUGUUACUCCCCUAUCAAUAAAUAUAAAACUGUGUUUUUCUUAGCCAUCCUCUUGGUGGGGUAGCUCUCUGUCUGACUCGCUGUUGAUUAAAGCCUCUACCUUAGGAUUUUGCUUUUGCAUCAUGAGCCAGCAAAAGAAAAAAAUAUAUAUUUAAAAUUAUAGCACAGUUAUUAUAAUUAACAUUUUCCUUUUUCAUGUUUAUGGUUUUUUCAUUUGUCUCUUAUUUUCCAUAGUUUAAAGAAAAAGUUGGGCUUCUGGCACCAUCAUUUCAUAAUGACAAUUUAUUAUUUUUAAGAGUUACAAGUGUAGGUUUGGUUUCCAUUAAGAGAAAAGACUUAUUCAUUAGAAGACAUUUUGUGGUACUAAGAUCAUAUUUCAUUAUAUUUCAGUUAGAUUUCUCUCUGGUUGCGGUUUUCUUUUAGUUCUAAAAUGAAUAAUUAGAUUAUAGAAAAUGAUAAUCACAGAACAAAAUUAUCAUUUAUCUAACAUACAUGUAUUGGCUUGCUGGAAAGAAGUGUAGAGAAAUGCUACAGUUUUCUGACCGCCCUCCUCAUUGUGCCACAGUGCAAGAUAAGCUUGUGUCCACUUGGAUCCUGGCGUGUUUGCCACAUUCCCAGUCAUUGUGGAAUUUUUACAAUAGAUUUUGUGCCACUAGUUUUGUUUAUUCAUCAUUUGAUUGACAGGAAGAAGGGCAGAGAGAGAAGGGGAAUGGCCUGGGACCAAGAAUUGAACCAGGGACAGCUGCGCCGAGGACUCUAGCCUCUAUAUAUGGUGCACCCAAUAACAGAUUUAUUAUUAUUAUUGCUCUGACUGUCGGUAGGGCAAGUCAAGGUUAGUAAUUAUGUAUUUUCUUGUAUACAUUUCCUGACUUUAACAUCGGCCUCACUUGAAUGGUAUGUUCUCCUGUAUUUCCCAUUAUGAAGAGUGGAUAAGAGAAAGGGAACUCUGUGUCACAUAAUAUUUAUGUCCCAGAGAAACAGGGAGUUGUGGACUACUAAACUUGAAAAUGAUCGAUAUGAAUAGAACUGAAAUAAAAUAAAGUAUCUGUUACACUUA